CCUGAGAAACCCAAAAGAUCGAAUGGGGAGAUUCAGCGUCAGCGGUGCUGGUACGUGUUUGGUUCGCGAUGUUGGUGACUUCGGUCUCUCGGCACGUGUCCUUUCACGGCAUCGGCGCUCGUCGGCGUGCACUUCUCCCCUAGUAGGACGUCGCGACCCGUUGGGUGUCGGUCUACGGCCCGAGUGGUAGCCUGUCUCGUGUGCGCUUUACGGCGUCACUGCGUGACAGACCCUCGGAUGCCUGACCGGCUGCCCGGCGGUACUCGCAAGGUAUCUGGCCGCAAAUAUUUGAACUGCGUCCAGCCCGUCGCAAGCGAGGCAAGUGUUUCCCGAAUGUACGGAUCUAAUGCCGUCAUCGGGCCUGGCCAGCUGUUGGUUGACGGUGUCCUAGGACAGGCUAUAAAAAUUAUGAUACCGGUCAGCGACGCUACUGCUUUGGGUACUUUCAGGACCCGUCUUGAAACACGGACCAAGGAGUCUAACAUGUGCGCGAGUCAUUGGGAACUAAUAAGCCUAAAGGCGCAAUGAAAGUGAAGGUCGGCCUUGCGCCGACCGAGGGAGGAUGGGCCGCGUCACGAUGCGGUCCCGCACUCCCGGGGCGUCUCAUUCUCAUUGCGAGAA
Molecule: ribosomal RNA, 621 nt
Filed under: Stenomacrus sp. MM46
Lineage: Eukaryota; Metazoa; Arthropoda; Insecta; Hymenoptera; Ichneumonidae
Description: eukaryotic LSU rRNA
Rfam family: Eukaryotic large subunit ribosomal RNA
Source: RNAcentral